UAGGGAAUAUUGGGCAAUGGACGCAAGUCUGACCCAGCCAUGCCGCGUGCAGGAUGAAGGCGCUCAGCGUUGUAAACUGCUUUUGAUAGGGAAGAACGGCCUUUCUGCGGAAGGGUGUGACGGUACCUACAGAAUAAGCACCGGCUAACUCCGUGCCAGCAGCCGCGGUAAUACGGAGGGUGCAAGCGUUGUCCGGAUUUAUUGGGUUUAAAGGGUGCGUAGGUGGCUUUUUAAGUCUGACCUGAAAGUGGGCCGCUUAACGGCACAGGGCGGUUGGAUACUGAAGAGCUUGAAGAGGGUGGAGGCCGCCGGAACGGAUCGUGUAGCGGUGAAAUGCAUAGAGAUGAUCCAGAACCCCGAUUGCGUAGGCAGGCGGCUACGCCCCACUUGACACUGAGGCACGAGAGCAUGGGGAGCAAACAGG
Molecule: ribosomal RNA, 424 nt
Filed under: uncultured bacterium
Lineage: Bacteria
Description: bacterial SSU rRNA
Rfam family: Bacterial small subunit ribosomal RNA
Source: RNAcentral